UACGUAGGGAGCAAGCGUUGUCCGGAAUCAUUGGGCGUAAAGCGCGCGUAGGCGGCCUCGUAAGUCCGCUGUGAAAGUCAAAGGCUCAACCUUUGAAAGCCGGUGGAUACUGUGAGGCUAGAGUACGGAAGAGGCGAGUGGAAUUCCUGGUGUAGCGGUGGAAUGCGCAGAUAUCAGGAGGAACACCAAUAGCGAAGGCAGCUCGCUGGGACGUUACUGACGCUGAGGCGCGAAAGCGUGGGGAGCGAACAGG
This 253-nucleotide ribosomal RNA is filed under the name uncultured bacterium. RNAcentral describes it as "partial 16S ribosomal RNA". It matches the Rfam family "Bacterial small subunit ribosomal RNA", at positions 524 to 776 of the family's 1533-position model. The record is from RNAcentral.